UACGGGGGGGGCAAGCGUUGUUCGGAAUUACUGGGCGUAAAGGGCACGUAGGUGGCCAACUAAGUCAGACGUGAAAUCCCUCGGCUUAACCGGGGAACUGCGUCUGAUACUGGAUGGCUUGAGUUCGGGAGAGGGAUGCGGAAUUCCAGGUGUAGCGGUGAAAUGCGUAGAUAUCUGGAGGAAUACCGGUGGCGAAGGCGGCAUCCUGGACCGGCAUUGACGCUGAGGAGCGAAAGCCAGGGGAGCAAACGGG
RNAcentral lists this ribosomal RNA (253 nucleotides) under uncultured bacterium. RNAcentral describes it as "partial 16S ribosomal RNA". It matches the Rfam family "Bacterial small subunit ribosomal RNA", at positions 524 to 776 of the family's 1533-position model. The record is from RNAcentral.